GCACCAGUCGCCAUGGCUACCAACCACCGCGGAGGCGACCGCUCCCUCCCUGAUUUUAGGCGUCGCCGGCCCCCCUCCCCUUCCUUCCAAGCGCCGCCGACCGCUCCCCGCUGAUUCCACACAUCGCCACCCCAUCCCCUGCUUCCACGCGCUGCUAUCCAUCUGCUUCCACCGCGUCGGCGGCUCGCUCCCUGCUUCCACUUCCAUUCGCCGCCUCAGAACCCCGCACACUACCGCCCUCCCUUACCGCCUACAGCUCGCCGUGUGCAAGUUCGUCAGUCCAAGUUCUCCGGCGAGCUCGUCUCUGGUUUCGUUUUCCUUAACACUCGGUAAGGAAAAAUGAUCAUUCAACUUCAAAUAUGUUUUGGACUGAUCGUUCAAGUUCUUUCCUAUAGAAGGUUCAGUGAGUUUUGUUCCUGAAAAUGCACAUAUUUGGAUUACGCCAAUAUAUAUGUAUUUCUGAAUUUGGCUCUUGUGUAACAGUUCAACAUGUAUUAUGCCAUCAAUUCAUAAUGAAAAGGCAGUAAACAGUUCAAUACUUGUAUGUUAAAAAUGUAUCAUUAUAGAGAAACUUUCGUAGUAGUUCGAUGGAAUAAAUCGCAUCAGUUCUGACUCGGAUCCGUUCUUGCCUACAAUGCAUUGAAAAGUCAAUUUUUUUGCCUUUGUUCAGGCUUGAGAAGCAUGUAUCUCUAGGAUAUGUGCCAUGUUAAACUUGAGUUGUUUUCAGUUAACACAGGCCGACUGUCUCUUAAGCCUAAACAAAAUUUAUUUAUGUGAGAGACACCUGAAUUGAAGUUGUUCCCAAGUAAAAGAAACUUCAACUUAUUUGAGCACAUGCUGGUUAGGAUAAUUUUGUAAUUACUUUAGCUCUCGUCAAUGAUAACAGAUCAAAAAAAUUGGCUCCUCUUAGAUGUAACUUGAAGAAUGCUAGCGCUGAGGUUGGGCAUUAUUUAUCAAUGGUAACUUGUUCAUAGGGCCGGCCGGUGGAAAAUUUCCUAAGUUCAACUAGGUUGCUAAAGCUUCAGUCCAACUAUGUUGCUUCUGCAAUUUUCCUUAUGGAGAAAAUCACACUGAGGAACGCUCAAACUAUGUUUCAUCUUUGAACUUAAACGCGUUUGUUCUUCGAGCUAAAAUUCCUAGAGCUUCAUUAGUCCAACUUUUUGUGAUUCUCGUACCUACUAUUCAGAAAUCACUGGUGAAAAACUCUGAUUGCAGCAAUGGCAUGCUCCAAGCCC
This 1235-nucleotide long non-coding RNA is filed under the name Triticum aestivum (bread wheat). Its description in RNAcentral is "long non-coding RNA (TAES_LNC017802)". The record is from RNAcentral. Lineage: Eukaryota; Viridiplantae; Streptophyta; Magnoliopsida; Poales; Poaceae.